RNAcentral lists this ribosomal RNA (600 nucleotides) under uncultured Actinomycetes bacterium. Its description in RNAcentral is "bacterial SSU rRNA". It matches the Rfam family "Bacterial small subunit ribosomal RNA", at positions 252 to 866 of the family's 1533-position model. The record is from RNAcentral. Lineage: Bacteria; Bacillati; Actinomycetota; Actinomycetes.
GUGGGGUAAUGGCCUACCAAGGCAUCGACGGGUAGCUGGUCUGAGAGGAUGAUCAGCCACACUGGGACUGAGACACGGCCCAGACUCCUACGGGAGGCAGCAGUGGGGAAUCUUGCGCAAUGGGCGAAAGCCUGACGCAACAACGCCGCGUGCGGGAAGAAGGCUCUCGGGUUGUAAACCGCUUUCAGAAGGAACGAAAAUGACGGUACUUUCAGAAGAAGGUGCGGCCAACUACGUGCCAGCAGCCGCGGUGACACGUAGGCACCAAGCGUUGUCCGGAUUUAUUGGGCGUAAAGAGCUCGUAGGCGGUUCAGUAAGUCGGGUGUGAAAACUUUGGGCUCAACCCAAAGCCUGCAUCCGAUACUGCUGUGACUUGAGUUCGGUAGGGGAGUGGGGAAUUCCUAGUGUAGCGGUGAAAUGCGCAGAUAUUAGGAGGAACACCGGUGGCGAAGGCGCCACUCUGGGCCGAAACUGACGCUGAGGAGCGAAAGCGUGGGUAGCAAACAGGAUUAGAUACCCUGGUAGUCCACGCCGUAAACGUUGGGCACUAGGUGUGGGUCUCAACCAACGAGAUCCGCGCCGUCGCUAACGCAUUAAGUG